Molecule: transfer RNA, 72 nt
Filed under: Sphaerodactylus townsendi
Lineage: Eukaryota; Metazoa; Chordata; Lepidosauria; Squamata; Sphaerodactylidae
Description: tRNA-Ala
Rfam family: tRNA
About the family: Transfer RNA (tRNA) molecules are approximately 80 nucleotides in length. Their secondary structure includes four short double-helical elements and three loops (D, anti-codon, and T loops).
Source: RNAcentral
GGGACUGUGGCUCAGUGGAUGAGCCUCUGUUUUGCGUGUAGAAGGUUCCAGGUUCAAUCCUUGGCACCCCCA